RNAcentral lists this ribosomal RNA (433 nucleotides) under uncultured bacterium. Its description in RNAcentral is "partial 16S ribosomal RNA". It matches the Rfam family "Bacterial small subunit ribosomal RNA", at positions 29 to 507 of the family's 1533-position model. The record is from RNAcentral.
AACGAACGCUGGCGGCAUGCCUAACACAUGCAAGUCGAACGAGACCUUCGGGUCUAGUGGCGCACGGGUGCGUAACGCGUGGGAACCUGCCCUUAGGUUCGGAAUAACUCCCCGAAAGGGGUGCUAAUACCGGAUAAUGUCUUCGGACCAAAGAUUUAUCGCCUUUGGAUGGGCCCGCGUUGGAUUAGCUAGUUGGUAGGGUAAAAGCCUACCAAGGCGACGAUCCAUAGCUGGUCUGAGAGGAUGAUCAGCCACACUGAGACUGAGACACGGCCCAGACUCCUACGGGAGGCAGCAGUGGGGAAUAUUGGACAAUGGGCGAAAGCCUGAUCCAGCAAUGCCGCGUGAAUGAUGAAGGCCUUAAGGUUGUAAAGCUCUUUUACCCGGGAUGAUAAUGACAGUACCGGGAGAAUAAGCUCCGGCUAACUCCGUG